ACUCACUGUCGACAUGCAAGUUUAAAAUUAUACACAUGGAAACAUGGCUGUGUUUAUGGAUUCGAAUAUUAGCUACACAACCGAUAAAAAACGACUUCAGAAUGUUAUUGCAACAGCAGCGCACCGUAACUAUGUUUGAUCCUUUUACAUUUGCAUAAUUGUUUAACUAGCACAAACCUUUAUGCAUAAAGAAGACCAUGGCUGCCUGGAUAACGUUAUGUUAGCUAGUAGCUCACCGUAACUAGCUAUGUUUUUAUCUUCUCAUUUGCAAAACUGUUAAGCUUAACACUAACUUCAGAUUCGUCUUUGCUAACGUCUACGCGCUAGUUCAUCGCUUGAGGCAACCCUCAAUAUGUCGUCGUACGAUGGACCAGAACUAGCUGAAAGAUGUCUUGAUUGAUUUGCUAAUCAAGUACUGUAACGUUUUCAUGUUUCAGUUGGAUACUCCACAGUUGCCAUCAAUUAUGUGGUUAAUUUGCAACAAAAGAAACAGGAAAUUGGCCAACCAAAAUGUGUCUCAGAGCUGUAUGAUACAUUUCCCAUAGUGCAGGUAAUGUGGAGUAAUAUUGAUGUAUAAGGUAAUACUUUUUCAUGAUGAUAACUAUCACAUUUCUCCAUGCAGUGGGAUAAUAACUAAAUAUAUUUUUUUGCACAGGGUAAAUCCAGAACAAUCAAGGUUUUAAACCGACUGACAGUUGUGGCCUCAGACCCAUCACACUUUGAGUCCAAUAUACACUGUAUAAAACAUUAGGAACACCUUUUGUAAUAUUGAGUCGACCUCUUUUGCCCAUAGAACAGCCUCAAUUCGUCAGAGCAUGGACUCUACACAAGGUGUCAAGCGUUCCACAGGAAUGAUGGCCAAUGUUGACUCCAACAUUGGCCAUUGGCCAACUGACCCUCCGUUACAUCAUGACGUGUCAUGCCGUAACGUACAGCACGCGUAAAGCAACUAUUUCUGUCUUACAAUCUCUCCACCAGGUGUAGCACUUCUCUCAUCGUUUAAAAACAAGAAAUGGACAGUGACAGGGUAAGGGGGAUACCUAGUAAUUUUUUGCGUCGUCACUGUAAGCGAUCAUUACUCUCAAAAGACAAUGUUUACUUCUGAAGAUCACUUUAGCACCGCCCUAAAAACCCGAUUCAAAUUCGACACAAACCUUCAAAUAGGUAUGUAAUGACACAUUAUAUAAACUCUUUAUAGUGUUUUAUUUACAUUUUAGAGGCAAUAAGGUGAUAAAUUGGACAGAUCGAGUGAAAAAAGGCCGUUUCCCCACAGGUGAUCUCUCCUUCUCACUAUCACGCAUUAGUUUCGCUUCCCCACCUGCCAUUUUUAAAAAGACCCGAUGGCGCUCAUUGCCUUCUUGAAUUAUGCAGAAACGGGCAACGUGAAGGUCAUGUAAUUUAUUUUGUUGGAAAGGGGAGAAAUUGUGCUUUACUAUGGUAUUAACAUUACAAUUGAUCUGGAAGUAUUAUGUUUUUGGGGCGCUAAAAUAAGGUCAAUUGUACGGACCAAGGCGAUGUACAAAAGUGAGUGAGUUUACGUUACUACCAUACCCCAUUCAAAGGCACUUAAAUCUUUUCUUGCCCAUACACCCUCUGAAUGGCACACAUACAAUCCAUGUCUCAAGGCUUAAAAAUCACUUUUUGACCUGUUUCCUUCCAUCUACACCAAUUUUAAGUGGAUUUAACAGGUGACAUCAAUAAGGGAUCAUGUCUUUCAGCUGGUCAGUCUGUCAUGGAAUGAGCAAGUGUUCCUAAGGUUUUGUAUACUCUGUGUGCAGUAGAAGUUUAAACAUUUGCUGACAGUAUUCAUAUUGCAUGAUUUUUCAAAUAAUAUCUGUCCCAGAGACCAAUUGCAGAGUACAAAGCCUAUGACUUAGUGGCUGUCUAUCCUAAAACAGAGAAGUUGUUUCGUGUAAGUACAUUUUUCAGCAUCAUUAUCCACUACUGACAAUGUAUGUUAGGAUAACCUUCUGCUCAUUUUGGUGUUCUACUUGUUUCAAUGGGUGGCUUGCAUGACAUUCGAUGUUGACAUCCUCUGUGUAGCAGUGACAGAAAAACAGCCCUUCUCCAGUAAAUGGGGUAAGUAUGUAUACAUUGCCUUGCAAAAGUAUUCACACCCCUUGGUUUACUUCACAUUUUGUUUUUACAGUGGGAUUAAAAUUUGUUUUUUUUUUUGUCAACAAUCUACACACAAAGUACUGUCAGUGGAAUUAUUUUUUAUUUUAUUUUUUUAGAUAAAUUCAUAACUACAAUAUAGUCAUUGCAUCAGUAUUCAUCACCUUUGUUUUGGCUAGCCUAAAUUAGUUCAGGAAUAAAAAUGUGGUUUAAAAAAAUCACAGUUACAUGGACUAUGUGUGAAAUAAUAGGGGUUGACAUGAUUUUUGAAUGACUAACCCUUCCUCUGUCCCCCAUAAAUACAUUUGUAAUAUCCCUCAGUCAAGUAUUGAAUUUCAAGCACAGAUUCAACUACAAAGACCAGGAAGCUUUUCAAAAGCCUCAUGAAGAAGGGCACUAAGAUUAUAUUGCAAAGGAAUACACUUUUUGGCCUGAAUGCAAGGCCUUACGUUUGGGGGAAAUCCAACGCAUCACUGAGUAACUGCCUCAUUUUCAAGCAUGGUGGUGGCUGCAUCAUGUUAUGGGUAUGCAUGACAUUGGCAACUAUUGGGGAGUUUUUCUAGGAUAAAAAGAAACAGGGUGGCGUUAUUUUUAUUUAUUUCUACUUUGCACAUUCUUCCAUUGCAAAACUACCAUUCCAGUAUGUUACUUGCUAUAUUGUAUUUACUUUGCCAUCAUGGCCUUUUUUGCCUUUACCUCCCUUCUCACCUCAUUUGCUCACAUUGUAUAUAGACUUGUUUAUACUGCAUUAUUGACUGUAUGUUUGUUUUUACUCCAUGUGUAACUCUGUGUCGUUUUAUCUGUCGAACUGCUUUGCUUUAUCUUGGCCAGGUCGCAAUUGUAAAUGAGAACUUGUUCUCAACUUGCCUACCUGGUUAAAUAAAGGUAAAAUAAAUAAAUAAAUGGACAUGCAAAAUCCUAGUGGAAAACCUGGUUCAGUCUACUUUACACCAGAGACUGGGAGUUGAAUUUGCCUUUCAGCAGAACUAUAACCUACAACACAAGGCCAAAUAAUGUUCCUGACUGGCCAGUUACAGUUUUGACUUAUCUGCUUAAAUCUAUGGGGAGACAUUUAAAAUGGCUGUGUAGCCACGAUCCCUAACAUCUUGACAGAGCUUGAAGAAUUAUGAAAAGAAUAAUGGACAAAUAUUGCACAGUCCAGGUGUGAAAAGUUCUUAUAGACUUACCCAAGAAGACACGGCUGUAAUCGAUGCCAAAAGUGUUUCUAACAUGUAUGGACUCAGAGGAGCUGAAUACUUAUGCAACAACUAUAUUUUAGGUAAAUCAUAUACUAAAUAUAAUUUCUUCCACUUUGACAGAGUAUUUUGUGUAUCCAAGGGGUCUGAAUAGUUUUGCAAGGCACUUGUCGGUAUUUGAAUUAACAACUAAUUUGGUGACUCUCACUUGCGUCUUAUUUCUUUUGGUUGGAGUGGAUAAUUUUUUUUAUAUACAGUAAAAGUGAUGUAACUUAUUCUUGUUGAGAGGUGUGUUCUUUGAAAUAAGUUACGCACCUGCAAUCCGAGACUCCACCUUGAGAAGAUACACCAUCGCAAAUUCCAUCAGUCUCUUGGAGAUGUGCAAAGGAAAAGUAAACAAAUACACCCAUCGCGGUUCAUUGUUCACCUGUUAAUCCACCUGCCAUUUUCAAACGGUGUGUGUAACCGCAAUGUUUUCUUUCAAUUAGAAUGUAACUUUGACGAGCGGGGCAGAAAAGGUACGAUAGAAAUGAGAUAUUGUCUUACCCUCUUAGAUAACAAUCACAUGAACCUUUAGCACGUUAACAUCAUCCUGAAAUGAACUUUACUAAUGUAAAUGUGUUUUGUCCCUCCUUGUUCAGUCCCUUGAGUUGAAGGGACCCUACGACAUUGGCAACUUGUAUCCUUACAUUACCUUCUACAGUACUUGAUGUAGGCUACUAGAAUAGAGUGCAGACUUUAGCAGGUGUGAUGAGGCCAACCUGUGUCCGUGCUGUUGUCCUGAAUGAGGUCCAGAGGCCUACUUUUUGGCCUGUCCGAAGGAGAUGGCAAAUCUGCAAUCUCCACCAACUGUCGUGUUGUCCACUUACAUGGAGGUGAAUAGGCUGCUGUUUAUUGAUCGAUCAAUUGAAUACGUUGGGUCAAAUCACAAAUGUUAUCUUCACUUGGGCUACUCACUGUCCCGUUUGAACCAUCUAUGGAAUGUUAUUUUUUUGUAAUUUAUCAAAUAACACAGUCAUUAAACCUAUAUUUACUACAUGUUGAUCAGUCUCAAAGCAGAAUUUGUGGCACAAGGGAACCAAUUAAUGUACUGUGUUGUCAUUCCAGAAACAAGAAAGACUGCCUUGGGUAUUGUACACACUAUGAAGAAAGAGCAGCCAUUGAGAGACAGCCUCAGAGGGCUAAGAUUGAGACUGCAUAGUAGAAAGUAAAAUACUUUUGGAUGAAUAGAGAAUGUGUUUAUGUAAAUGCCCUUUUAUGAAUAUCUUUGUGUUAAUGUGACUGUUUUCUAAUUGUCAGUGGUUUAUAUAGUUUGUCAUGGAUUAGCAACUAUGAUGAUGCUUGUUCCUUUUAGACAAAGGAAUCCAAUUCAGAUAGCAAAGGCAAUGCUGUCUAUUUAAUACAUUUACAGGUAAACAUGUAGUGGAAACAUUGCAGUUACUUCAGGAAGUGUAUUAAUACUACACAAGCAUUUUCAAAUCAUGUAUUCUCACUGACUACCACAAAACCAGGUUGAAGCCACAGGCUUGCUUUCUGCGGAACAGUAUUGUUUUGUGACUAUCUUUUUAUAUUAAAGAGAAAUUAAGAAUGUA
Oncorhynchus kisutch (coho salmon) is the source of this 4903-nucleotide RNA transcript. RefSeq lists it as uncharacterized. NCBI's taxonomy places the organism in Eukaryota, Metazoa, Chordata, Actinopteri, Salmoniformes, Salmonidae. The record is from RefSeq and is a predicted model, not a curated record. The transcript has 2 exons.